This 1364-nucleotide ribosomal RNA is filed under the name Klebsiella pneumoniae. Its description in RNAcentral is "bacterial SSU rRNA". It matches the Rfam family "Bacterial small subunit ribosomal RNA", at positions 1 to 1353 of the family's 1533-position model. The record is from RNAcentral. Lineage: Bacteria; Pseudomonadati; Pseudomonadota; Gammaproteobacteria; Enterobacterales; Enterobacteriaceae.
ACUUAAAUUGAAGAGUUUGAUCAUGGCUCAGAUUGAACGCUGGCGGCAGGCCUAACACAUGCAAGUCGAGCGGUAGCACAGAGAGCUUGCUCUCGGGUGACGAGCGGCGGACGGGUGAGUAAUGUCUGGGAAACUGCCUGAUGGAGGGGGAUAACUACUGGAAACGGUAGCUAAUACCGCAUAAUGUCGCAAGACCAAAGUGGGGGACCUUCGGGCCUCAUGCCAUCAGAUGUGCCCAGAUGGGAUUAGCUAGUAGGUGGGGUAACGGCUCACCUAGGCGACGAUCCCUAGCUGGUCUGAGAGGAUGACCAGCCACACUGGAACUGAGACACGGUCCAGACUCCUACGGGAGGCAGCAGUGGGGAAUAUUGCACAAUGGGCGCAAGCCUGAUGCAGCCAUGCCGCGUGUGUGAAGAAGGCCUUCGGGUUGUAAAGCACUUUCAGCGGGGAGGAAGGCGUUAAGGUUAAUAACCUUGGCGAUUGACGUUACCCGCAGAAGAAGCACCGGCUAACUCCGUGCCAGCAGCCGCGGUAAUACGGAGGGUGCAAGCGUUAAUCGGAAUUACUGGGCGUAAAGCGCACGCAGGCGGUCUGUCAAGUCGGAUGUGAAAUCCCCGGGCUCAACCUGGGAACUGCAUUCGAAACUGGCAGGCUAGAGUCUUGUAGAGGGGGGUAGAAUUCCAGGUGUAGCGGUGAAAUGCGUAGAGAUCUGGAGGAAUACCGGUGGCGAAGGCGGCCCCCUGGACAAAGACUGACGCUCAGGUGCGAAAGCGUGGGGAGCAAACAGGAUUAGAUACCCUGGUAGUCCACGCCGUAAACGAUGUCGAUUUGGAGGUUGUGCCCUUGAGGCGUGGCUUCCGGAGCUAACGCGUUAAAUCGACCGCCUGGGGAGUACGGCCGCAAGGUUAAAACUCAAAUGAAUUGACGGGGGCCCGCACAAGCGGUGGAGCAUGUGGUUUAAUUCGAUGCAACGCGAAGAACCUUACCUGGUCUUGACAUCCACAGAACUUUCCAGAGAUGGAUUGGUGCCUUCGGGAACUGUGAGACAGGUGCUGCAUGGCUGUCGUCAGCUCGUGUUGUGAAAUGUUGGGUUAAGUCCCGCAACGAGCGCAACCCUUAUCCUUUGUUGCCAGCGGUUAGGCCGGGAACUCAAAGGAGACUGCCAGUGAUAAACUGGAGGAAGGUGGGGAUGACGUCAAGUCAUCAUGGCCCUUACGACCAGGGCUACACACGUGCUACAAUGGCAUAUACAAAGAGAAGCGACCUCGCGAGAGCAAGCGGACCUCAUAAAGUAUGUCGUAGUCCGGAUUGGAGUCUGCAACUCGACUCCAUGAAGUCGGAAUCGCUAGUAAUCGUAGAUCAGA